This 189-nucleotide ribosomal RNA is filed under the name uncultured bacterium. RNAcentral describes it as "partial 16S ribosomal RNA". It matches the Rfam family "Bacterial small subunit ribosomal RNA", at positions 338 to 524 of the family's 1533-position model. The record is from RNAcentral.
CCUACGGGAGGCAGCAGUAGGGAAUAUUGGGCAAUGGCCGAGAGGCUGACCCAGCCAUGCCGCGUGCAGGAUGAAGGCUUUCUGAGUCGUAAACUGCUUUUACCAGGGAAGAAAAAAGGGGAUGCGUCCCCUACUGACGGUACCUGGUGAAUAAGCACCGGCUAACUACGUGCCAGCAGCCGCGGUAAU